This 414-nucleotide ribosomal RNA is filed under the name uncultured microorganism. Its description in RNAcentral is "bacterial SSU rRNA". It matches the Rfam family "Archaeal small subunit ribosomal RNA", at positions 459 to 872 of the family's 1478-position model. The record is from RNAcentral.
CAGCCGCCGCGGUAAUACCGGCGGCCCGAGUUGCGGUCACUAUUAUUGGGCUUAAAGCGUCCGUAGCCGGGUUGGGAAGUCCUCCGGGAAAUCUGGCCGCUUAACGGUCAGAAUGCCGGAGGAUACUCCCAGCCUAGGGAGCGGGGGAGGCCGAGGGGAUUCCCGGAGGAGGGGGGAAAUCCUAUAAUCCCGGGAGGACCACCUGUGGCGAAGGCGCUCGGCUGGAACGCGUCCGACGGUGAGGGACGAAGGCCAGGGGAGCAAACCGGAUUAGAUACCCGGGUAGUCCUGGCUGUAAACGAUGCGGACUUUGUGUCGGACAAGCUAUGAGCUUGUCCGGUGCCGGAGGGAAACCGUUAAGUCCGCCGCCUGGGGAGUACGGCCGCAAGGCUGAAACUUAAAGGAAUUGGCGGG